AAAUAAAAAAGGAAGUCAGAAUUACUACAACAAAAACGGUCUAUAGCGACACUUUUAAAUAUCGGUAUAGGUCAAAAAAAGUGCUGCUGGCUAAAUUUACCGACACUUUUGAAAAGUGUUGCUAUAUGUGGAGUCGCUAGAUAUAUAGUGACAGUUAAAGAGUGUUGCUAUAAUCUAAAAGAGUGCUGCUAAUUUACCAAUAUUUAUUUAAGCAUCUAGCAACCGACAGAACUCUACCUCGUUGGCUGUGGUGGUGGAGGAGGACGAGAGGAAAUGAUCUUCGUCUAGGAUUUCAGUCGAUUGAGUGAGGGAAGAAGGGAAAAUGAUAAUCGAUUUUUUUUCUCUUUUUUUUUUCUUUUUCUUUUCUGUUUGUAAUCGAGCCGAAUGGGCUAAGUGGAGUGGGUUGAGUAGAGUACCCUUUUAUUUUUAGUUGGAUUGGACUUUAUAUUUAGACAUUAGUAGGAUUUUUUUAAGUUUUGGUAUAAAUAUAACACUUAUACAAAAGUAUGUGUCGCUAUAACCUAAUUCUGUUGUAGUGAAUUGUCUAAAUGUUAAUGGAGCAGAUGGAAAUACUGUUAUGGAAAAUGAAUUAAUAGCCACAUGUCACGUAAAUGAUAAUAACAAAUACUAG
Molecule: long non-coding RNA, 631 nt
Filed under: Ananas comosus (pineapple)
Lineage: Eukaryota; Viridiplantae; Streptophyta; Magnoliopsida; Poales; Bromeliaceae
Description: long non-coding RNA (ACOM_LNC033214)
Source: RNAcentral